Molecule: unclassified non-coding RNA, 269 nt
Filed under: plant metagenome
Description: partial contains small subunit ribosomal RNA, internal transcribed spacer 1, and 5.8S ribosomal RNA
Source: RNAcentral
UUUCCGUAGGUGAACCUGCGGAAGGAUCAUUAAUGAGUUGUCAUGGGGUUCGAUGCUGGCAGCCAAUUUCUGGAUGCAUGUGCUUGCCCUAACAAUCAUCUUCCAAACACCUGUGCACAUUUUUGAGGGAGUCUUGAGUUGGUUGCCGCUCUUGGGUGAUUUUCUCACAUUCCCUUAAAUCAUUAUACGCUAUUAACAAUGUUGAACGUGCUCUGUGCCGCAAGGCUAUUAAUAUAAUACAACUUUUAACAACGGAUCUCUUGGCUCUC